RNAcentral lists this ribosomal RNA (476 nucleotides) under uncultured organism. RNAcentral's name for it is "eukaryotic LSU rRNA". It matches the Rfam family "Eukaryotic large subunit ribosomal RNA", at positions 2411 to 2892 of the family's 3401-position model. The record is from RNAcentral.
CCCUGUUGAGCUUGACUCUAGUCUGGCAUUGUGAAAAGACAUAGGGGGUGUAGAAUAAGUGGGAGCUUCGGCGCCGGUGAAAUACCACUACCCUUAUCGUUUUUUUACUUAUUCAAUGAAGCAGGGCUGGCCUUCACGGGCCACCUUCUGGUGUUACGGCACUUUACGUGCUAACCUGGGUUGAAGACAUUGUCAGGUGGGGAGUUUGGCUGGGGCGGCACAUCUGUUAAAAAAUAACGCAGGUGUCCUAAGGGGAGCUCAUCGAGAACAGAAAUCUCGAGUAGAACAAAAGGGUAAAAGCUCCCUUGAUUUUGAUUUUCAGUGUGAAUACAAACCAUGAAAGUGUGGCCUAUCGAUCCUUUAUUCCCUGCAAAUUUCAGGCUAGAGGUGCCAGAAGAGUUACCAUAAGGAUAACUGGCUUGUGGCAACCAAAUGUUCCUGCGACGUUGCUUUUUGAUCGGUCGGAGUCGGCUCUU